Molecule: ribosomal RNA, 502 nt
Filed under: Acinetobacter septicus
Lineage: Bacteria; Pseudomonadati; Pseudomonadota; Gammaproteobacteria; Moraxellales; Moraxellaceae
Description: bacterial SSU rRNA
Rfam family: Bacterial small subunit ribosomal RNA
Source: RNAcentral
CUGAUCCAGCCAUGCCGCGUGUGUGAAGAAGGCCUUAUGGUUGUAAAGCACUUUAAGCGAGGAGGAGGGUACUGGUAUUAAUACUACCAGCUACUGGACGUUACUCGCAGAAUAAGCACCGGCUAACUCUGUGCCAGCAGCCGCGGUAAUACAGAGGGUGCGAGCGUUAAUCGGAUUUACUGGGCGUAAAGCGUGCGUAGGCGGCUAAUUGAGUCGGAUGUGAAAUCCCCGAGCUUAACUUGGGAAUUGCAUUCGAUACUGGUUAGCUAGAGUGUGGGAGAGGAUGGUAGAAUUCCAGGUGUAGCGGUGAAAUGCGUAGAGAUCUGGAGGAAUACCGAUGGCGAAGGCAGCCAUCUGGCCUAACACUGACGCUGAGGUACGAAAGCAUGGGGAGCAAACAGGAUUAGAUACCCUGGUAGUCCAUGCCGUAAACGAUGUCUACUAGCCGUUGGUCUCUUUGAGGGAUUAGUGGCGCAGCUAACGCGAUAAGUAGACCGCCUGG